Pelobates cultripes (western spadefoot toad) is the source of this 157-nucleotide non-coding RNA. Lineage: Eukaryota; Metazoa; Chordata; Amphibia; Anura; Pelobatidae. The record is from the annotation of a GenBank genome assembly.
GCAGACACACUCCAGCCAAUCAGCAGCAGACCCUCCCUCCCAGACCCUCCCACCUCCUGGACAGCAUCCAUUUUGAAGCUGCAUUCUUAGUGAGCUGUCCAGGAGGUGGGAGGGUCUGGGAGGGAGGGUCUGCUGCUGAUUGGCUGGAGUGUGUCUG